UGGACAUGGACGUUUGCCACGGAAAAGGC
This 29-nucleotide non-coding RNA is filed under the name Mus musculus (house mouse). Lineage: Eukaryota; Metazoa; Chordata; Mammalia; Rodentia; Muridae. The record is from RNAcentral.